Molecule: ribosomal RNA, 2904 nt
Filed under: Escherichia coli
Lineage: Bacteria; Pseudomonadati; Pseudomonadota; Gammaproteobacteria; Enterobacterales; Enterobacteriaceae
Description: 23S ribosomal RNA
Rfam family: Bacterial large subunit ribosomal RNA
Source: RNAcentral
GGUUAAGCGACUAAGCGUACACGGUGGAUGCCCUGGCAGUCAGAGGCGAUGAAGGACGUGCUAAUCUGCGAUAAGCGUCGGUAAGGUGAUAUGAACCGUUAUAACCGGCGAUUUCCGAAUGGGGAAACCCAGUGUGAUUCGUCACACUAUCAUUAACUGAAUCCAUAGGUUAAUGAGGCGAACCGGGGGAACUGAAACAUCUAAGUACCCCGAGGAAAAGAAAUCAACCGAGAUUCCCCCAGUAGCGGCGAGCGAACGGGGAGGAGCCCAGAGCCUGAAUCAGUGUGUGUGUUAGUGGAAGCGUCUGGAAAGGCGCGCGAUACAGGGUGACAGCCCCGUACACAAAAAUGCACAUGCUGUGAGCUCGAUGAGUAGGGCGGGACACGUGGUAUCCUGUCUGAAUAUGGGGGGACCAUCCUCCAAGGCUAAAUACUCCUGACUGACCGAUAGUGAACCAGUACCGUGAGGGAAAGGCGAAAAGAACCCCGGCGAGGGGAGUGAAAAAGAACCUGAAACCGUGUACGUACAAGCAGUGGGAGCACGCUUAGGCGUGUGACUGCGUACCUUUUGUAUAAUGGGUCAGCGACUUAUAUUCUGUAGCAAGGUUAACCGAAUAGGGGAGCCGAAGGGAAACCGAGUCUUAACUGGGCGUUAAGUUGCAGGGUAUAGACCCGAAACCCGGUGAUCUAGCCAUGGGCAGGUUGAAGGUUGGGUAACACUAACUGGAGGACCGAACCGACUAAUGUUGAAAAAUUAGCGGAUGACUUGUGGCUGGGGGUGAAAGGCCAAUCAAACCGGGAGAUAGCUGGUUCUCCCCGAAAGCUAUUUAGGUAGCGCCUCGUGAAUUCAUCUCCGGGGGUAGAGCACUGUUUCGGCAAGGGGGUCAUCCCGACUUACCAACCCGAUGCAAACUGCGAAUACCGGAGAAUGUUAUCACGGGAGACACACGGCGGGUGCUAACGUCCGUCGUGAAGAGGGAAACAACCCAGACCGCCAGCUAAGGUCCCAAAGUCAUGGUUAAGUGGGAAACGAUGUGGGAAGGCCCAGACAGCCAGGAUGUUGGCUUAGAAGCAGCCAUCAUUUAAAGAAAGCGUAAUAGCUCACUGGUCGAGUCGGCCUGCGCGGAAGAUGUAACGGGGCUAAACCAUGCACCGAAGCUGCGGCAGCGACGCUUAUGCGUUGUUGGGUAGGGGAGCGUUCUGUAAGCCUGCGAAGGUGUGCUGUGAGGCAUGCUGGAGGUAUCAGAAGUGCGAAUGCUGACAUAAGUAACGAUAAAGCGGGUGAAAAGCCCGCUCGCCGGAAGACCAAGGGUUCCUGUCCAACGUUAAUCGGGGCAGGGUGAGUCGACCCCUAAGGCGAGGCCGAAAGGCGUAGUCGAUGGGAAACAGGUUAAUAUUCCUGUACUUGGUGUUACUGCGAAGGGGGGACGGAGAAGGCUAUGUUGGCCGGGCGACGGUUGUCCCGGUUUAAGCGUGUAGGCUGGUUUUCCAGGCAAAUCCGGAAAAUCAAGGCUGAGGCGUGAUGACGAGGCACUACGGUGCUGAAGCAACAAAUGCCCUGCUUCCAGGAAAAGCCUCUAAGCAUCAGGUAACAUCAAAUCGUACCCCAAACCGACACAGGUGGUCAGGUAGAGAAUACCAAGGCGCUUGAGAGAACUCGGGUGAAGGAACUAGGCAAAAUGGUGCCGUAACUUCGGGAGAAGGCACGCUGAUAUGUAGGUGAAGUCCCUCGCGGAUGGAGCUGAAAUCAGUCGAAGAUACCAGCUGGCUGCAACUGUUUAUUAAAAACACAGCACUGUGCAAACACGAAAGUGGACGUAUACGGUGUGACGCCUGCCCGGUGCCGGAAGGUUAAUUGAUGGGGUUAGCGCAAGCGAAGCUCUUGAUCGAAGCCCCGGUAAACGGCGGCCGUAACUAUAACGGUCCUAAGGUAGCGAAAUUCCUUGUCGGGUAAGUUCCGACCUGCACGAAUGGCGUAAUGAUGGCCAGGCUGUCUCCACCCGAGACUCAGUGAAAUUGAACUCGCUGUGAAGAUGCAGUGUACCCGCGGCAAGACGGAAAGACCCCGUGAACCUUUACUAUAGCUUGACACUGAACAUUGAGCCUUGAUGUGUAGGAUAGGUGGGAGGCUUUGAAGUGUGGACGCCAGUCUGCAUGGAGCCGACCUUGAAAUACCACCCUUUAAUGUUUGAUGUUCUAACGUUGACCCGUGAUCCGGGUUGCGGACAGUGUCUGGUGGGUAGUUUGACUGGGGCGGUCUCCUCCUAAAGAGUAACGGAGGAGCACGAAGGUUGGCUAAUCCUGGUCGGACAUCAGGAGGUUAGUGCAAUGGCAUAAGCCAGCUUGACUGCGAGCGUGACGGCGCGAGCAGGUGCGAAAGCAGGUCAUAGUGAUCCGGUGGUUCUGAAUGGAAGGGCCAUCGCUCAACGGAUAAAAGGUACUCCGGGGAUAACAGGCUGAUACCGCCCAAGAGUUCAUAUCGACGGCGGUGUUUGGCACCUCGAUGUCGGCUCAUCACAUCCUGGGGCUGAAGUAGGUCCCAAGGGUAUGGCUGUUCGCCAUUUAAAGUGGUACGCGAGCUGGGUUUAGAACGUCGUGAGACAGUUCGGUCCCUAUCUGCCGUGGGCGCUGGAGAACUGAGGGGGGCUGCUCCUAGUACGAGAGGACCGGAGUGGACGCAUCACUGGUGUUCGGGUUGUCAUGCCAAUGGCACUGCCCGGUAGCUAAAUGCGGAAGAGAUAAGUGCUGAAAGCAUCUAAGCACGAAACUUGCCCCGAGAUGAGUUCUCCCUGACUCCUUGAGAGUCCUGAAGGAACGUUGAAGACGACGACGUUGAUAGGCCGGAUGUGUAAGCGCAGCGAUGCGUUGAGCUAACCGGUACUAAUGAACCGUGAGGCUUAACCUU